Molecule: RNA transcript, 1713 nt
Organism: Cyanidioschyzon merolae strain 10D
Lineage: Eukaryota; Rhodophyta; Bangiophyceae; Cyanidiales; Cyanidiaceae
Exons: 1
Source: RefSeq, a predicted model, not a curated record
AUUGAGCGUUGACGGAAGCUCGUCGAAUGCACGGAACGCUGGACAUCUUUCGGUGCUUGUGAGGGACCGCCCUGCUGUGUCGCGUCUUUCGCGAAGGGAUCAUUUCGAACUUGCGCACGCAUGAACGCUCCCAGAAGCAACGGAGUAGGCACGGGCGCAGGGUUCAAUGGAAUUUCGCCGCUUGGGCCGGAAAGCGCCCCAGGUUUUGGUAACGAUAACGUUUGUUCCGUCUCCGGUGUUUCAUUCGCGAUACCGAGUGGAAACCGAUCCGCAGCUGUUGCAACAUCCCGGCAGUGCUGGUCGGGCGAGGGCUUGCGAGCAGGCUGCAAGCUGUUUUCAUGGAACGCGUAUGGAACGCUUUCGACGGCUCCCAGCGCGCCUGAUGCUGGCGUGAGGCGAACGAGAUCCUGCGCAGGGCUCGCUGCAGCGGCUGGAACGCGCUCCACAUGUUCAUCACCGUACUGGAUGAUUCCUCCGUCGUGCCCGGUGCGAGGAUCGCGAAUGCCUAUGUCUCCGAAAAUGGCUGGGGAUCGAGCUCGGAUCGUGACUGAAUGCUGCAACGGCUCUGGUGACGAAUGAAUGUCAGCGAUUGAAGCGUUCCGUGGACGUAGCGGAUGUGCGGAUCCCGGUGCCGCAUCGGUCUCUUCGGAGUCGCGGGGUAUCCGCGGUAUCGUCACUGGUGUCGAGACUUGGCACUGACCUACCGGCGACGAUGUGAGGGCUCUUUCCAUGGCAGGCGCAUUUGGAUCGUUGUCGGCGACCGGCAUGCUCCUUGGUACGCGUGCCGGAGAGCAGCUCACGCGAGUCGUCUCGGUACCGCGGGAGCCCGGCUGCAUGCUUGUCUGUACGAGUGCACCUCGAGCCUGGAAUUGGCAUUGUCGGAGGCUUGCAUUUUGACGAGCAUCCUCGAUAGAGCACCACGGAGACACACACAUCAGUGACUGAUCUCGGUUCUGGUCCGGAAUAUCCAAGCCAGCCGACCUGUCUCCAACCGGGGAUACAUCCGUAUUCGUUCGUAUCGUUGAAACAGCAGUUGUAUCCAGCAGAUCCGAUCGGUUCGCGGACGACUCCACAACGUUCAGCGACAGUGAAACGCGCUCUCUUACUUGAUGGGACGCGCUGUCGCCAUCGACUCCUGCAUCCGUGUCGAACGCGAAGAGGCGCUUGCGCCCUGCCGCCACCGAUUGGAUCAAGCGCCGCAUCCGCUUCUGCAUUCGCGAUGUCCACCCCGCACUUUUGCUUGGAGAAUCGAGAACUUGAGCACAAGCGGUACGCGAGGAGGGGCAAGGCGUUUGCAGCGCCAACUGCGCAGUCGACUGCAAUACCGCAGGCGUUGGCGUCUCAUCGACAUUCUGCUGAGCGCGCGCUUCCCUGUCACUCAUUGUACGGAUUGCAGUCGGUACUCUAGCAACACAAGUGCACAACACGAACGAAGAAUACGACCUAGAAUUGACACUCCGAAUUCCCGCCAUGAACAGGACACGUAUGUGCGUGCAACGAUCAAUGCGUGUCAUGCAGCGCUCGCAUGCAUGCACCGACGUAUGCAUGCGAUCGCCUUGCGAAUAGCAAGCGUCGCUUCUGCAGCAACGACACCUGCCAUCUUCAUCGGCGAAUACAAGUUUCUCCAUUGGCGGUCCUGAUCGCAGGAGCAGUGCACCGACAGCACUGUAAUCCGAGAUUGUCCACCAACGGCCAUACGCUAGUAAACUGCAG